CGCCCAGCAGCUAGCCCAAACAACUAAAACAAACAAAUCCCCAUUAAUUACCCCUCACUCACUAAAAACCAAAAAUAAAGCAUUCUACCCCUCUUAGUAUAGGAGAUAGAAAAGAACCUAGGCGCAAUAGAGAAAGUACCGCAAGGGAAAGCUGAAAGAGAAAUGAAAUAACCCAGUAAAGCACUAAGAAGCAGAGAUUUUACCUCGUACCUUUUGCAUCAUGAUUUAGCCAGUAAAGUUUAAGCAAAGCCCCCUUUAGUUUUACUCCCCGAAACUAAGUGAGCUACUCCAAGACAGCCUAUCAAUUAGGGCGAACCCGUCUCUGUGGCAAAAGAGUGGGAAGAGCUUCGAGUAGCGGUGACAGACCUAUCGAACUUAGUUAUAGCUGGUUGCCCGGGAAAUGGAUAGAAGUUCAGCCUUUUAAAGUUCUCUAUUCGCCCUGGCCCGUCCGCCUCCAGUUAAACAAGAACUUAAAAGAGUUAGUCAAAGGGGGUACAGCUCCUUUGACAAAAGACACAACUUUCUCAGGAGGUUAAAGAUCAUAAUUUACCAAGGACUCUGUGUUUAUGUGGGCCUAAAAGCAGCCACCCCUUCAGAAAGCGUUAAAGCUCAAACACCUCUCCCUCCACAAAUACUGAUAACCCCAUCUUAACCCCUACCCCUACCGGGCCGUCCCAUGCCUCCAUGGGAGCGACUCUGCUAAUAUGAGUAAUAAGAAAGCCACGCCUUUCUCCCCGCACAAGUGUAAAUCGGAACGAACCCCCACCGAAAUUUAACGGCCCCAAGAAAAGAGGGCACUGGACUUCGUGCUAGUGAACAAGAAAAACAUCCAACAACUAACCGUUAACCCCACACUGGUGUGCAAAAAAGGAAAGACUAAAAGAAAAAGAAGGAACUCGGCAAACACCUAAGCCUCGCCUGUUUACCAAAAACAUCGCCUCUUGCAAAACUGACGAAUAAGAGGUCCCGCCUGCCCGGUGACUAUUAGUUUAACGGCCGCGGUAUUUUGACCGUGCAAAGGUAGCGCAAUCACUUGUCUUUUAAAUGGAGACCUGUAUGAAUGGCAUAACGAGGGCUUGACUGUCUCCUUUUUCCAGUCAAUGAAAUUGAUUUCCCCGUGCAGAAGCGGGGAUGACUACAUAAGACGAGAAGACCCUAUGGAGCUUUAGACACUAAGACAGACCACACUCAGAACGCCCAAACAAGGAAUAAAAACCAAGUGGCCCCUGUUCCUAAUGUCUUUGGUUGGGGCGACCCUGGGGAAACAAAGAACCCCCAUGUGGAACGGAAAUACUCUUUCUUAAUCCAAGAGCUACCCCUCUAAGAAACAAAACUUUUGACCAACUUAGAUCCGGCAGCGCCGAUCAACGGACCAAGUUACCCUAGGGAUAACAGCGCAAUCCCCUUUUAGAGCCCAUAUCGACAAGGGGGUUUACGACCUCGAUGUUGGAUCAGGACAUCCUACUGGUGCAGCCGCUAUUAAGGGUUCGUUUGUUCAACGAUUAAAGUCCUACGUGAUCUGAGUUCAGACCGGAGUAAUCCAGGUCAGUUUCUAUCUAUGAAGUACCCUUUUCUAGUACGAAAGGACCGAAAAGAGAAGGCCCAUGCUAAUAGUAUGCCUUUCCCUCACCUAAUGAAGCCAACUAAAUUAGAUAAGAGAAUACACCCCCCCCCCAGCCAGAAAACAUGGCAU
Molecule: ribosomal RNA, 1693 nt
Filed under: Cheilio inermis
Lineage: Eukaryota; Metazoa; Chordata; Actinopteri; Labriformes; Labridae
Description: 16S ribosomal RNA
Rfam family: Bacterial large subunit ribosomal RNA (bases 107-1578)
Source: RNAcentral